GACGAACGCUGGCGGCGUGCUUAACACAUGCAAGUCGAACGGAAAGGCCUCUUUCGGGGGGUACUCGAGUGGCGAACGGGUGAGUAACACGUGAGUAACCUGCCCUUGACUUUGGGAUAACUUCAGGAAACUGGGGCUAAUACCGGAAAGGAGCUCCUGCUGCAUGGUGGGGGUUGGAAAGUUUCGGCGGUUGGGGAUGGACUCGCGGCUUAUCAGCUUGUUGGUGGGGUAGUGGCUUACCAAGGCUUUGACGGGUAGCCGGCCUGAGAGGGUGACCGGCCACAUUGGGACUGAGAUACGGCCCAGACUCCUACGGGAGGCAGCAGUGGGGAAUAUUGCACAAUGGGUGGAAGCCUGAUGCAGCAACGCCGUGUGCGGGAUGACGGCCUUCGGGUUGUAAACCGCUUUCGCUCAUGACGAAGCUUUGUGUGACGGUAGUGGGUAAAGAAGCACCGGCUAACUACGUG
RNAcentral lists this ribosomal RNA (467 nucleotides) under uncultured bacterium. RNAcentral describes it as "partial 16S ribosomal RNA". It matches the Rfam family "Bacterial small subunit ribosomal RNA", at positions 28 to 507 of the family's 1533-position model. The record is from RNAcentral.